AGCGAACGCUGGCGGCAGGCUUAACACAUGCAAGUCGAGCGGGCGUAGCAAUACGUCAGCGGCAGACGGGUGAGUAACGCGUGGGAACAUACCUUUUGGUUCGGAACAACACAGGGAAACUUGUGCUAAUACCGGAUAAGCCCUUACGGGGAAAGAUUUAUCGCCGAAAGAUCGGCCCGCGUCUGAUUAGCUAGUUGGUGAGGUAACGGCUCACCAAGGCGACGAUCAGUAGCUGGUCGAGAGGAUGAUCAGCCACACUGGGACUGAGACACGGCCCAGACUCCUACGGGAGGCAGCAGUGGGGAAUAUUGGACAAUGGGCGCAAGCCUGAUCCAGCCAUGCCGCGUGAGUGAUGAAGGCCCUAGGGUUGUAAAGCUCUUUCGGCGGGGACGAUAAUGACGGUACCCGCAGAAGAAGCCCCGGCUAACUUCGUGCCAGCAGCCGCGGUAAC
RNAcentral lists this ribosomal RNA (451 nucleotides) under uncultured bacterium. RNAcentral describes it as "bacterial SSU rRNA". It matches the Rfam family "Bacterial small subunit ribosomal RNA", at positions 29 to 524 of the family's 1533-position model. The record is from RNAcentral.